UAGGGAAUCUUCCGCAAUGGACGCAAGUCUGACGGAGCAACGCCGCGUGAGUGAAGAAGGAUUUCGGUUCGUAAAACUCUGUUGUUAGAGAAGAACAGCGCAUAGAGUAACUGUUAUGCGUGUGACGGUAUCUAACCAGAAAGCCACGGCUAACUACGUGCCAGCAGCCGCGGUAAUACGUAGGUGGCAAGCGUUGUCCGGAUUUAUUGGGCGUAAAGCGAGCGCAGGCGGUUAGAUAAGUCUGAAGUUAAAGGCAGUGGCUCAACCAUUGUAGGCUUUGGAAACUGUUUAACUUGAGUGCAGAAGGGGAGAGUAGAAUUCCAUGUGUAGCGGUGAAAUGCGUAGAUAUAUGGAGGAACACCGGUGGCGAAAGCGGCUCUCUGGUCUGUAACUGACGCUGAGGCUCGAAAGCGUGGGGAGCGAACAGG
RNAcentral lists this ribosomal RNA (428 nucleotides) under Bacteroidota bacterium. RNAcentral's name for it is "Bacteroidetes bacterium partial 16S ribosomal RNA". It matches the Rfam family "Bacterial small subunit ribosomal RNA", at positions 355 to 776 of the family's 1533-position model. The record is from RNAcentral. Lineage: Bacteria; Pseudomonadati; Bacteroidota.